Molecule: ribosomal RNA, 494 nt
Filed under: uncultured bacterium
Lineage: Bacteria
Description: partial 16S ribosomal RNA
Rfam family: Bacterial small subunit ribosomal RNA
Source: RNAcentral
GACGAACGCUGGCGGCGUGCUUAACACAUGCCAGUCGAACGGUGAAGCGCCUUCCUUUUUGGUGGGUGUGGAUGAGUGGCGAACGGGUGAGUAACACGUGAGUAACCUGCCCCCUUCUUCUGGAUAACCGCAUGAAAGUGUGGCUAAUACGGGAUAUUCUGGGUCUGUCGCAUGAUGGGUCUGGGAAAGAUAUUGUUUCGGUGGGGGAUGGGCUCGCGGCCUAUCAGCUUGUUGGUGGGGUGAUGGCCUACCAAGGCGGUGACGGGUAGCCGGCCUGAGAGGGUGGACGGUCACACUGGGACUGAGACACGGCCCAGACUCCUACGGGAGGCAGCAGUGGGGAAUAUUGCACAAUGGGCGCGAGCCUGAUGCAGCGACGCCGCGUGAGGGAUGGAGGCCUUCGGGUUGUGAACCUCUUUCGCCAGUGAAGCAGGCCUGCCUCGUUUGUGGGUGGGUUGACGGUAGCUGGAUAAGAAGCGCCGGCUAACUACGUG